AGCCUACGGGGCGCAGCAGUAGGGAAUUUUCGUCAAUGGGCGCAAGCCUGAACGAGCAAUGCCGCGUGAACGAGGAAGGUCUUCGGAUCGUAAAGUUCUGUUGAAGGGGAAAAAGAGCGGAGAGAGGAAAUGCUUUCUGAUUGAUAUUACCCUUCGAGGAAGUCACGGCUAACUACGUGCCAGCAGCCACAGUAAUACGUAGGUGGCGAGCGUUAUCCGGAAUGAUUGGGCGUAAAGGGUGCGUAGGCGGCCUGCUAAGUCUGGAGUGAAAGGUACCGGCUCAACCGGUACAGGCUCUGGAAACU
This 305-nucleotide ribosomal RNA is filed under the name uncultured bacterium. Its description in RNAcentral is "bacterial SSU rRNA". It matches the Rfam family "Bacterial small subunit ribosomal RNA", at positions 335 to 634 of the family's 1533-position model. The record is from RNAcentral.